Molecule: long non-coding RNA, 654 nt
Organism: Sycon ciliatum
Lineage: Eukaryota; Metazoa; Porifera; Calcarea; Leucosolenida; Sycettidae
Exons: 8
Source: RefSeq, a predicted model, not a curated record
CUUUCGAUCCAUUCUGUUCUUCGCCUCCCUCGUGAAGGUUGCUGAUUCUGGCUCUCGUGUCUCGGAGGUUCUCUUCGUCGACCAUCUUCUACCCUUCAUUAGCCAUGGCUGGAGCCAUGCAUUUUCUUCGUUGUUCUUCUGGUGUAACGUAGCUUCAAGAACUUUCCAACAACGGUUUAUGACGAAAAAAUGAAAAUGGACUGCACGUGCAACCGCCAUUUUUUUUUCAUAUCAACUUCCUAGAAUAUACUCUUAGUCGAUUGGAGAAUUCACGGCUUGUCGCGUGGCUUUGGCCUCAGAGUGGCAUAAGCCUUCAUCUGUGCUAUGGAAUCGCGUCCCUCGACCGCAACUGAUUGACUGCCGUCCUAAGCAGCACAUGCACAUCGCCAGCUACUUCUUGCGACCAUCUGGGAAUGUCGCUACAUUGUGUGGGCACUCGCGAUUGUCAACUUAUGAGCAGCCUGAUCAUCAUCUCUUCUUGCAAUCGCAAUCUGGAAGAGUUCACCCAAUCAAAAGGUUUGCCCCUUGAUCUCCGUGUGGCCUCAAGAAUCUCCGUUUGUUGCGCCCAUAUCUAUUUUCCAUCCUUAUUCUUUUUGAUACCGUAUAUUUCUCAAUACAGUAGUUCAUUCCUUCAAUAAGAGCUAUUCGAUGUGA